CUGGCCAGUCGCUGAGAGGUGGCAAAGAAAGCUGGCACUGCGACUCCUGAUGUCUGCCUUCUCCGAGCAGGUGACGAAGGCAAGCUGUUGCCUCGAUUCCCACAGUAUAUUUUCAUUAAGCUGUGGCAGAUGGCAGUGGAGGUCACCGCUUCCACACCAUCAUCCUUUCAGCCGAAAGGUGUCAGGGAAUCUGACACCUCAAUUACUAAAGCAGGAUUCAUCCAAACAGCAUCCAGGAUGAAGGGGGAAAGGGAAUUAGAAAAGCUGCUCUCCUAAUUUCCAUGAAUCCUCACCUUUGAGAGAAAAUCUGGGAUGAGAACUUCCCUGAUAAACAACACAUUUCUGCCUAACAUCCCGACACAGAAGCAGCUGCUCUGAGAACCAGCCACAGACACCAGAAAAAAGGCAAUUAAGUUCUCGUGGAAAUGAGAGCAAAAAGCUCUCCUUGGAAAAGGCCGUUGAUGCUAAUGAGCUACACCAAAGUCAAGGGAGGAUUGAUUGAUCUUACUCCAGCAGAGAACUGCUGCUCGCUUCCCUCUAGCCUGUGGAACGUGGAACAUGAAGUGAAACAAAGCUGCCAUGUUUUGCUUCACGAGGGUUUUCAGAAGUCAGCUGACCUGCAGAGACACCACUGCAACAUCACCAUUGACUUCUCUGUGUUCAACGUGAAAUGCGGUUCUGAUACGGCGUUAUCCACAGCAAAGAAGAUGAAGUGAGAGUCUGACUUCAUCAAUGAGCAAGCAAAGCAGAACUUCUUUGUUCUUAUUUUGGGAUCUCAAAAUCAUAAUACGGUUUUGGAAUGAUUAUGAAAUAUCUCAGAUUGGCAGCUCUGCGUGGUGUUACUCAUUGAGUUUCCUUCAACAACAAAAACACCAAAAAGCAUCAUCCUACAAGGAGAUAACAAAUGAGUUCAACAAGACCGAGCAACACCAAAGUCUGUGCUUCCUUUGUGAGCAGUUUCCCCUUAGUGUUUAGGAAUGACAUCAAAACUCCCAACACGAAGACAUCAGAGAUGUUUGGGAGAUGAAAACAUCCAGGACUCAAACUUCAAAUAAAAACAACCCCACCAAAAC
Molecule: long non-coding RNA, 1073 nt
Organism: Gallus gallus (chicken)
Lineage: Eukaryota; Metazoa; Chordata; Aves; Galliformes; Phasianidae
Exons: 2
Source: RefSeq, a predicted model, not a curated record